UACAGGGGGUGCAAACGUUGCUCGGAAUCAUUGGGCGUAAAGCGCACGUAGGCGGUUCGUUAUGUCGGAUGUGAAAGCCCUUGGCUUAACCGAGGAAGUGCAUCCGAAACUGGCGAGCUAGAGUACGAAAGAGGAUCGCGGAAUUCCCGGUGUAGAGGUGAAAUUCGUAGAUAUUCGGAAGAACACCAGUGGCGAAGGCGACUCACUGGACACGUAUUGACGCUGAGGUGCGAAAGCGUGGGGAGCAAACAGG
Molecule: ribosomal RNA, 253 nt
Filed under: uncultured bacterium
Lineage: Bacteria
Description: partial 16S ribosomal RNA
Rfam family: Bacterial small subunit ribosomal RNA
Source: RNAcentral